Peromyscus eremicus (cactus mouse) is the source of this 373-nucleotide long non-coding RNA. RefSeq lists it as uncharacterized. The transcript is spliced from 3 exons. NCBI's taxonomy places the organism in Eukaryota, Metazoa, Chordata, Mammalia, Rodentia, Cricetidae. The record is from RefSeq and is a predicted model, not a curated record.
GCUAGUCACGGCUUUUGCAAGAUCUGUGAGGCCAGCAUUGGAUCAUGUAGGAGUUUGUAAGAUGGCUCUAGGACCCAGAGUGAUUUGCCAUUCACGCUGUGUAUAGACUUUACAGAAGGUCUGGAACCCAGGAGUGACUAACUCAAAUAUGAAAAUAGAAUGCCCUUUUGUACAACAGCAGCAUCUGCAGCAGCACGUCACACUUCCAAAACAUCUGCAGUGUCCUCAUUAUGUAUCCAAGGCGGGCAUUGAAACGGUGACCCUCCUGUAUCAAUCUCCUGAGGGCUGGGAAUACAGACAUAGGUCACCAUGAUGGGCCCUCACAAGAACGCUUGCUCUUGUGGAACCAGACUAGCAACCAGAAGAGUGGGCA